This 499-nucleotide ribosomal RNA is filed under the name Ascomycota sp. CJL-2014. RNAcentral's name for it is "eukaryotic LSU rRNA". The stretch from base 149 to 302 matches the Rfam family "5.8S ribosomal RNA". Lineage: Eukaryota; Fungi; Ascomycota. The record is from RNAcentral.
CAGCGGUUAGGAGCUUACACCCACCCGUGUUUACAUACUAUUGUUGCUUUGGCGGGCCGUGGCCUCCACUGCGGGCUCUGCUCGUGUGUGCCCGCCAGAGAACCAAACUCUGAAUGUUAGUGAUGUCUGAGUACUAUCUAAUAGUUAAAACUUUCAACAACGGAUCUCUUGGUUCUGGCAUCGAUGAAGAACGCAGCGAAAUGCGAUAAGUAAUGUGAAUUGCAGAAUUCAGUGAAUCAUCGAAUCUUUGAACGCACAUUGCGCCCUGUGGUAUUCCGCAGGGCAUGCCUGUUCGAGCGUCAUUUAACCACUCACGCCUAGCGUGGUAUUGGGGCACGCGGUCUCCGCGGCCCUCAAAAUUAGUGGCGGCGCCGGUGGGCUCUAAGCGUAGUACAUACUCCCGCUAUAGAGUUCCCCCGGUGGCUCGCCAGAACCCCCAAUUUUUACAGGUUGACCUCGGAUCAGGUAGGGAUACCCGCUGAACUUAAGCAUAUCAAUA